AAAUUUAAUUAUUUUUUUCAAAAAUACAAAAAUAUAUUUUUUUUUGAAAAAAAAAUAAUUUUUCUCAAAAAAAAACUGAUAUUGUUUUAUUAAAAAAAAAGUAAAAAACUUUUAAAAAAUAAUAAAUUUUAAAGGAAAAAAAAAUGGAUGGAUGGAUAUCCAUCCACUAAAAAUAUGAUAAUGGAUGGAUUGGAUGGAUUUUUAUUCUUAAUGGAUGGAUUGGAUUGGAUAUUUUUAAAAAAA
This 243-nucleotide long non-coding RNA is filed under the name Lathyrus oleraceus (garden pea). RNAcentral describes it as "Pisum sativum (pea) long non-coding RNA (PSAT_LNC003368)". The record is from RNAcentral. Lineage: Eukaryota; Viridiplantae; Streptophyta; Magnoliopsida; Fabales; Fabaceae.